Molecule: ribosomal RNA, 216 nt
Filed under: Runchomyia magna
Lineage: Eukaryota; Metazoa; Arthropoda; Insecta; Diptera; Culicidae
Description: partial 16S ribosomal RNA
Source: RNAcentral
GAUCUUUAUUUUUAUUUAUUAUAAAUAAAAAAGUAUAUAAAUUUUUAUAUUAAUAAUAAAAUUUUACUGGGGUGGUAUUAAAAUUUAAUAAACUUUUAAAUAUAGUUAACAUUAAUAUAUGAAUAAUUGAUCCAGUUUUAUUGAUUAAAAAUUUAAGUUACCUUAGGGAUAACAGCGUAAUUUUUUUUUAUAGUUCAUAUCAACAAAAAAGAUUGC